GGGCUGAAGUAGGUCCCAAGGGUAUGGCUGUUCGCCAUUUAAAGUGGUACGCGAGCUGGGUUUAGAACGUCGUGAGACAGUUCGGUCCCUAUCUGCCGUGGGCGCUGGAGAAUUGAGGGGGGCUGCUCCUAGUACGAGAGGACCGGAGUGGACGCAUCACUGGUGUUCGGGUUGUCAUGCCAAUGGCACUGCCCGGUAGCUAAAUGCGGAAGAGAUAAGUGCUGAAAGCAUCUAAGCACGAAACUUGCCCCGAGAUGAGUUCUCCCUGACUCCUUGAGAGUCCUGAAGGAACGUUGAAGACGACGACGUUGAUAGGCCGGGUGUGUAAGCGCAGCGAUGCGUUGAGCUAACCGGUACUAAUGAACCGUGAGGCUUAACCUUACAACGCCGAAG
RNAcentral lists this ribosomal RNA (393 nucleotides) under Escherichia coli. RNAcentral describes it as "partial 23S ribosomal RNA". It matches the Rfam family "Bacterial large subunit ribosomal RNA", at positions 2550 to 2925 of the family's 2925-position model. The record is from RNAcentral. Lineage: Bacteria; Pseudomonadati; Pseudomonadota; Gammaproteobacteria; Enterobacterales; Enterobacteriaceae.